UCCCAGUUCAGAUCGCAGUCUGCAACCCGACUGCGUGAAGUCGGAAUCGCUAGUAAUCGCGGAUCAGAAUGCCGCGGUGAAUACGUUCCCGGGUCUUGUACACACCGCCCGUCACACCAUGGGAGUUGGAAAUGCCCGAAGUCAGUGGCCCAACCGGAAGGGGGAGCUGCCGAAGGCAGGUUCGAUGACUGGGGUGAAGUCGUAACAAGGUAUC
This 214-nucleotide ribosomal RNA is filed under the name uncultured bacterium. RNAcentral describes it as "partial 16S ribosomal RNA". It matches the Rfam family "Bacterial small subunit ribosomal RNA", at positions 1286 to 1500 of the family's 1533-position model. The record is from RNAcentral.